Molecule: long non-coding RNA, 1753 nt
Organism: Anolis carolinensis (green anole)
Lineage: Eukaryota; Metazoa; Chordata; Lepidosauria; Squamata; Anolidae
Source: Ensembl
AUGGGGAAAACCAUUGCUUUGACUAUGCGGACAUUCAUUGCCAGUGUGAUGUCUCUGUUCUUCACUAUUUUAUCAAGGUUGGCCAUUGCUCUCCUCCCAAGAAGUAGACGUCUUCUGAUUUCCUGGCUGCAGUCUGCAUCACAGAGGGCUACAUUCAGAAGCAUGCGUCGGAUUAGCCCAGAAGAAAAUAUACUGAUACAACAGACCACAGGAGAGAGAAAAAACUGAGAAAAAUAAUGAGCACCAAAGCGAUUUCAUUCAUUCUGGUAGCCCUGCUUCGGCGCGUUCAAAAGCUUUAUCAUUGCACAUUCUACUUCCAGUCUUUUAUUAUUGAGAAAGGAAAGUGUGGUGAAGACAAUUCCGCAUCAAAAACCAACCUAAAAGCUUAUUCACAGAUAUAUAAUACGUGGAUAAAAAUUUGGCCUUAAGAGUAGAUUUCUCUUCCUCUAAACAAAGUAGGAUCAGAACCUUCUUAGAUGGAUGUCACUGUCACUUAGAUGGAUGCCAAGCUAAAAGGAUUAAGUCAGCAGAUAUAAGCAUUUUUGGAUCUUUUCUGGUAUUUUCAGGUGCUUCCAUAAUAAAGACAAUCAUGAUGUUUUGUUUAUUUGUAAACAAUUUUAUUAGUAUUUCUGCAUGAAUUGAAAUAGAUUAUUCCCAUAAAAUCACCCAUAGAAGAAAACAGUGGUGAACACUGAACACUGAAAAACUGAAGGGGAAAGAAGAUACCAUUCUUUUGUUAAUGACGUCUUAAGUAUCCUAAAGCACAAGACAUCAGAUUUUUUUUCCAGUUUGGUUUUGCACACCCGUCACCAUAUUGUGGUGCAGCUGGUUAGUAGCCAGCUGCAAUAAAUCACUACUGAGCAAGAGAUCAUGAGUUCGAAGCCAGCAUGGGUUGGAGUAAACUCCCAACCAUUAAUAGUCUAGCUCAGGGGUCCCCAAACUAAGGCCCGGGGGCCGGAUGCGGCCCUCCGAGGUCAUUUACCUGGCCCCCGCCCUCAGUUUUAUAAUACAAUAUAUUGUACAGUAGAGUCUCACUAAUCCAAGCUAAACGGGCCGGCAGAAGCUUGGAUAAGUGAAUAUCUUGGAUUAUAAGGACUGAUCAAGGAAAAGCCUAUUAAACAUCAAAUUAGGUUAUGAUUUUACAAAUUAAGCACCAAAACUUCAUGUUAUACAACAAAUUUGAUAGAAAAAGUAGUUCAAUGUUGUAAUGUUAUGUUGUAAUUACUGUAUUUACGAAUUUAGCACCAAAAUAUCACGAUAUAUUGGAAACAUUGACUACAAAAAUGGCUUGGAUUAUCCAGAGGCUUGGAUAAGCGAGGCUUGGAUUAGUGAGACUCUACUGUAUAUACAUAUAAUAUUGACAAUAUUAUAAUGUAAUACAAUAUAACACUAAUAAUAAUACCAUAUAAUAAUAUUAAUUAUAUAUUCUAUAUUACAUAUAAUAUUACUAAUAAUAUUACAGUAUAGUGGUAUAGUUCAAUAUAGUAACAUAGAAUGCUAAUAUUGUGCUAUGCUAAUAAUAUAAUAUAUUGUAUGUACAUAUAAUUUGUAAGCCACUCUGAGUCCCCUUUGGGGUGAGAAGAGUGUGAUACAAAUGUAGUAAAUAAAUGCAGUAAAUAAAUAAAUAAUAAAUAAAUACAUUUUAGACUUAGGCUCGCCCAAAGUCUGAAAUGACUUGAAGGCACACAACAACAACAACAACAACAAUCCUAAUUAACUUGACUAUCUCAUUGCCCAGAAGCAGGAGCACACU